UGAACCUUUAAGACGGUCCAGAGAGGCCGGCAAGGUACGCAAUGAAAGUCUGUUUUUGUGCGACUUUGUAGCCUCUCGCUUGUGCGAGAGGCUUUUAUUAUU
Sporomusa malonica is the source of this 102-nucleotide regulatory RNA element. It matches the Rfam family "PyrR binding site". Rfam says of the family: This family represents the PyrR binding site and terminator structure. This RNA structure is found upstream of a variety of genes involved in pyrimidine biosynthesis and transport. The record is from Rfam. Lineage: Bacteria; Bacillati; Bacillota; Negativicutes; Selenomonadales; Sporomusaceae.